GAUGAACGCUGGCGGCGUGCCUAAUACAUGCAAGUAGAACGCUGAAGGAGGAGCUUGCUCUUCUGGAUGAGUUGCGAACGGGUGAGUAACGCGUAGGUAACCUGCCUGGUAGCGGGGGAUAACUAUUGGAAACGAUAGCUAAUACCGCAUGACAACAGUUAUUGCAUGAUAACUGUUUAAAAGGGGCAACUGCUCCACUACCAGAUGGACCUGCGUUGUAUUAGCUAGUUGGUGAGGUAACGGCUCACCAAGGCGACGAUACAUAGCCGACCUGAGAGGGGGAUCCGCCACACUGGGACGGAGACACGGCCCAGACUCCUACGGGAGGCAGCAGUAGGGAAUCUUCGGCAAUGGACGGAAGUCUGACCGAGCAACGCCGCGUGAGUGAAGAAGGGUUUCGGAUCGUAAAGCUCUGUUGUAAGAGAAGAACGAGUGUGAGAGUGGAAAGUUCACACUGUGACGGUAUCUUACCAGAAAGGGACGGCUAACUACGUG
RNAcentral lists this ribosomal RNA (495 nucleotides) under uncultured bacterium. RNAcentral describes it as "partial 16S ribosomal RNA". It matches the Rfam family "Bacterial small subunit ribosomal RNA", at positions 28 to 507 of the family's 1533-position model. The record is from RNAcentral.